This 1523-nucleotide long non-coding RNA is filed under the name Calidris pygmaea (Spoon-billed sandpiper). RNAcentral describes it as "lncRNA (ENSCPGG00000015299.1)". Lineage: Eukaryota; Metazoa; Chordata; Aves; Charadriiformes; Scolopacidae. The record is from RNAcentral.
CUUAUCUGUAACUAACACACAAAAGGAAGACAGUGCUAUUUAUUUUAGAAUAUAAGUCCUUAGAGGUUUUCUAGAUGUUGUCCUUGUCCAGGUUGUCUAGAUGUAAUCCAUACACUCCUUCCUCUUUUCCAGUUUAGCAAAGGAUGUCCAGCCUCUUUAUGUUCUUGUGAAUAAAUGAUCUCCAGUGACACUUUCAAGAAUUUGGCAGGUCAGAAGGGGGACUGCUGCUGAGCCAGUAAGCCCUUGAGGGGAUGUGUUACCCAUGCAUGGGAGAGAUAGGGAUGGCAUGCUUCAAAGAACGACAGCGAUAAGACAGAGCCACCUCUGUGGCCAUUCUCACCAUCUGUGCCUCCUUCCCCAUCUCAGGUUCUCAUCAUAGCACUUUUUUUCCUGGUAAAUCCCCAGAAUAACCAGAUCUCUCUCUUUUCUUCCUAUGGUUCUUUUCUCCCAAGUCUGUUCAUGGAUUGAAAGCAUUAUGAUCUGUGUUAUGGUGUUGUGGAGAGAAUGUGUUGCUCAUUAAUGAAAGUUUGUUAUUGUGUUGCACUUUUAUUUUACAGAUAUUUGAGCAUGAUGAUAAAAGUUUUCUGAGCAAAGAUACCUUGGAAAUCAAAAAGCUGCAGGAGCAGAAUGCCAGCCUUCGGGCUGCUAUUGCACAAAUGAGGAAAGAAAUGGAGAAUCUUGAUCAGCAGGUGUUGUCCUCUCUUCCUCUGACAGAAAGCAGACAGCUUGCAGAACAAGGUUCAUUGUGCACAAACAACAUUUCAACUGCAAACACUUUGAGUAACACCAAAGUCAGCUCAGCUAACUUGGAUUGUGUAGUAAACCCAGACACAGAAAAGGAGCUGCAGUUUGCAAAGCCACAGCAUCCCUCAAGGAUCUCUUCUCUGCUUGCCUGCCCUAGCUUAAAGGAAGCAGAAGGUCCAAGCAGCAGUGGGGAAGAAAAGGAAUUACCAUACACCAAGGUUCAGCUAGAUUUCUCUGUUGAAAAUCAUGGGCCAGAGCAACAAAAGGCAGAUAGAUCCUCAAAGAUCGGCCAAAGUCAGCCACUCAGGCAGAACCCUGGUCAAGCCCAGCAGGUCCAGCUUCCUUCAUCUCAAGCACGUGAUUUCUGCCAAGGGGAGUUUGCAGUUACACAUUCGACUGAGCAAUCUGAAGAAUCUCAGCAAAAUAUCAAAGCCAAGGAUAAACUGGAAAUGCCAGCUGCAGAUUUGACAGUCAGAGGAACCAGGCUGGAAGUUCAGAAGAAGUUAAAAUCCAGGAAUUUGUCUCCUGCUCGUAUCAUAAAACCAAAAAUCUCUUCUAACAUGGCAAAAAUCCGCAACUAUAAUAUUAGAGACUGAUUUCUUUGUUGGCAACACGUUCCAGGUCCACGCUUGCUAUUAAUUUACUUUGAAGUCUGUAAAUCAGAUGUGAAUACCGGCUUUGUUUUUAUAUGAGUUGGGACUCAUAUAAGAAGAAGAGAGAAAAACCACUCUGUUUCAUACUGUGAACCCUAAAAUAAAGGGUUAAUAUGUGAGAUUACA